GAAGCAGAGAUGCCAGCUGAGGUCCUGCCCCCAGCUCCCCUUAAGCUGAGCAGUGUGGAGAACAUCUUGCACAGGCUGCUGACUGCCUUCCAAGAAGCCCUUGACCUUUACCAUGUGUUGGUCUCCCUUGACCGGGUGGGCACUGAGCAGUAGCAGGUGUAGACUGAGCUGGCCUCUAACUUCCUUUGGAUCCACAGCCAGUUGUAGGCCAACAACGGGGUGGAGGGGUCUGAUGUGGCUCC
RNAcentral lists this long non-coding RNA (242 nucleotides) under Homo sapiens (human). Its description in RNAcentral is "non-protein coding lnc-PAPLN-4:1". Lineage: Eukaryota; Metazoa; Chordata; Mammalia; Primates; Hominidae. The record is from RNAcentral.